RNAcentral lists this ribosomal RNA (935 nucleotides) under Capnodium coartatum. RNAcentral's name for it is "SSU rRNA". It matches the Rfam family "Eukaryotic small subunit ribosomal RNA", at positions 54 to 996 of the family's 1831-position model. Lineage: Eukaryota; Fungi; Ascomycota; Dothideomycetes; Capnodiales; Capnodiaceae. The record is from RNAcentral.
CGGGCCGGUUCUAAGUAUAGCACUAUACGGUGAAACUGCGAAUGGCUCAUUAAAUCAGUUAUCGUUUAUUUGAUAGUACCUUACUACAUGGAUAACCGUGGUAAUUCUAGAGCUAAUACAUGCUAAAAACCCCGACUUCGGGAGGGGUGUAUUUAUUAGAUAAAAAACCAAUGCCCUUCGGGGCUCAAUGGUGAAUCAUAAUAACUUAACGAAUCGCAUGGCCUUGCGCCGGCGAUGGUUCAUUCAAAUUUCUGCCCUAUCAACUUUCGAUGGUAGGAUAGUGGCCUACCAUGGUAUCAACGGGUAACGGGGAAUUAGGGUUCUAUUCCGGAGAGGGAGCCUGAGAAACGGCUACCACAUCCAAGGAAGGCAGCAGGCGCGCAAAUUACCCAAUCCCGACACGGGGAGGUAGUGACAAUAAAUACUGAUACAGGGCUCUUUUGGGUCUUGUAAUUGGAAUGAGUACAAUUUAAAUACCUUAACGAGGAACAAUUGGAGGGCAAGUCUGGUGCCAGCAGCCGCGGUAAUUCCAGCUCCAAUAGCGUAUAUUAAAGUUGUUGCAGUUAAAAAGCUCGUAGUUGAACCUUGGGCCUGGCUGGCCGGUCCGCCUCACCGCGUGUACUGGUCCGGCCGGGCCUUUCCUUCUGGGGAACCGCAUGCCCUUCACUGGGCGUGUGUGGGAACCAGGACUUUUACUUUGAAAAAAUUAGAGUGUUCAAAGCAGGCCUUUGCUCGAAUACAUUAGCAUGGAAUAAUAGAAUAGGACGUGUGGUUCUAUUUUGUUGGUUUCUAGGACCGCCGUAAUGAUUAAUAGGGAUAGUCGGGGGCAUCCGUAUUCAAUUGUCAGAGGUGAAAUUCUUGGAUUUAUUGAGACGAACUACUGCGAAAGCAUUUGCCAAGGAUGUUUUCAUUAAUCAGUGAACGAAAGUUAGGGG